Molecule: ribosomal RNA, 253 nt
Filed under: uncultured bacterium
Lineage: Bacteria
Description: partial 16S ribosomal RNA
Rfam family: Bacterial small subunit ribosomal RNA
Source: RNAcentral
GACGGAGGGUGCAAGCGUUGUUCGGAAUUACUGGGCGUAAAGGGCGCGUAGGUGGCCUGUUAAGUUCGGUGUGAAAGCCCCUGGCUCAACCGGGGAAGUGCGCCGGAUACUGGCAGGCUAGAGUACCGGAGAGGAGGGUGGAAUUCCUGGUGUAGCGGUGAAAUGCGUAGAUAUCAGGAGGAACACCGGUGGCGAAGGCGGCUUCCUGGACAAUAACUGACGCUGAGGCGCGAAAGCUAGGGGAGCAAACAGG